AGAGUUUGAUCAUGGCUCAGGAUGAACGCUAGCUACAGGCUUAACACAUGCAAGUCGAGGGGCAGCAUUUCAGUUUUGCUUGCAAACUGGAGAUGGCGACCGGCGCACGGGUGAGUAACACGUAUCCAACCUGCCGAUAACUCGGGGAUAGCCUUUCGAAAGAAAGAUUAAUACCCGAUGGUAUAAUCAGACCGCAUGGUCUUGUUAUUAAAGAAUUUCGGUUAUCGAUGGGGAUGCGUUCCAUUAGGCAGUUGGUGAGGUAACGGCCCACCAAGGCAACGAUCAGUAGGGGUUCUGAGAGGAAGGUCCCCCACAUUGGAACUGAGACACGGUCCAAACUCCUACGGGAGGGAGCA
This 356-nucleotide ribosomal RNA is filed under the name uncultured bacterium. RNAcentral's name for it is "bacterial SSU rRNA". It matches the Rfam family "Bacterial small subunit ribosomal RNA", at positions 8 to 353 of the family's 1533-position model. The record is from RNAcentral.